AAUAUUUCUUAAAUUUUUAUUUGUAAUAAAAUUUAUUUAUUUAAAAUAUUAAAUAAAAUAAGAAUUUUUAGUAUAAUUUUUCAAAAAAAAAUAAAAAAUUAAAAGUAAAAUAGUAUAGUAAUAGAAAGAUGAAAUAAUUAAUUAAAAAUUAAUUUAAAUAAAAGUAAAUUUAAUUUGUUGUAUCUUGUGUAUCAGAGAUUAUUUAAAAUAAAUUAUUUAAAAUAAUUAUUUCGAAAUUUAAAGAGUUAAUUUAUUAUUUAAGUUAUUGUAAUAAAAAUAUUUAUAAUAAUAAAUUAGAAAUGAAAUGUUAAUCGUUUUAAAUUAUAUUUAAUUUUUAAAGAAAUAAAUUCAAUUUAUUUAUUUAAAAAAUUAUUUUUUAAAUUAUAUUUUAAAAAAUAAAUUUUAAAUAAAAAUAUUAUAAGGGAUAAGCUUUAUUAAUAAAAUUUUAGAUUUAAUUUAAUUUUUAUUAAAAUUUAUAAAAAUAAAAUUAUUUAUUAAUUAUAUUUUUUUAUAAAAAAAUUUAUAAAAAUUUAUAUUUUAAUAUUUAUAAAUUAAUUUUUUUAAUUUAUUUAAAUAUUUAUUAUAAUUAUUAAAAUUAAAGUAAUAAUGAUAAUAUUAGUAUAUAAAAAAAAAUUAAUUAAUUUUUUUCACUGGAAAAAAAAUUAAUUUUAUUAAUUCGGCAAAAAUAAUAUUCGCUUGUUUAACAAAAACAUGUCUUUUUGUGAGAUAAUUUAAAGUCUAAUCUGCCCCCUGAAAUUAUUUAAAGGGCUGCGGUAUUUUAACCGUACAAAGGUAGCAUAAUAAUUAGGUUUAUAAUUGAAAUCUAGAAUGAAUGAUUGGACGAAAUAUAAACUGUCUUAAAUUAAUUAAAAUAAAAUUUAAUUUUUAGAUUAAAAAGUCUAAAUUUUUUUAAAAGACGAGAAGACCCUAUAAAUCUUUAUAAUUUUAAAAAUUUUUUAUUUUUAUUUAAUUAAUAAAAUUUAAAUUAUUUAAAUUAUUUUAUUGGGGCGAUAAAAAAAUUUCUGAAACUUUUUAAAUAAAAAAUCUAAAAUUUAAGAAUUAAAUUAAAAUUGAUCUAUUAUUAAUAAUUAAAAGAAAAAGAUACUUUAGGGAUAACAGCGUAAUUUAAAUUUUAAGUUCAUAUUAAAAUUUAAGAUUGCGACCUCGAUGUUGGAUUAAAAUUUAAUUUAAAUGCAAAAGUUUAAAAAUUUAAGUCUGUUCGACUUUUAAAAUUUUACAUGAUCUGAGUUCAAACCGGUGAGAGCCAGGUUGGUUUCUAUCUUUAAUAAAUAAAUUAUCUUUUAGUACGAAAGGAUCAAAGAUUUAAAAUAAAAUAAUUUUUAAUUUGAAGAAUAAAAUUAAUAUAAAUUAAA
This 1373-nucleotide ribosomal RNA is filed under the name Thremma gallicum. RNAcentral's name for it is "16S large subunit ribosomal RNA". The record is from RNAcentral. Lineage: Eukaryota; Metazoa; Arthropoda; Insecta; Trichoptera; Uenoidae.